ACGGCAGCCACAGUGUCCGACUCCACUUGGAGGGUUUCUGUGAGAGACAAGUUGCUUGAAGCUAAUUUACCCUCUACAUGUAAAGUGUCUUUUCUUGAUCCAAACCAGCCUCAUUGUUUUCAGCUAACUGUAACCAGAUGAGGGGUUACAGGGUGGAAAAUUUCCAUUUGAACUGAGGUUCCCAUGCGUACAUCAUGGCGCCUCCCAAAGUGAAAUGCCUGAGCAGGAUGUGGCACCACAACAUUACAGAGACAGGAGAAGUAUAUCUGAGUUUACUGAGAGAACAUUCAAUUGACUACACUGGCUGGGAUCCCACGAGAACAUCCCAUAAAGGAUAUUGUUUGGGGAUUAAACUCUUUCUUUACUGAUCUUGUGAAUUUUGAUGAUCCACUGAAUAUUGAAGCUGCAGAACAUCACUUGCGGGACAACUAGGACUUCCGGAAUUAAGUGGAAGACUACAUC
This 462-nucleotide long non-coding RNA is filed under the name Homo sapiens (human). RNAcentral describes it as "non-protein coding lnc-CDH8-9:1". Lineage: Eukaryota; Metazoa; Chordata; Mammalia; Primates; Hominidae. The record is from RNAcentral.